UAAAGACGGACUCAACACUAGAGAGUCAGGAGGAGCCAUAAACUUUCAACAUUUCUGCUGUGAGCUGUAGGAUAAUUCAGAUGAACAUGAAGGCGGGACACUGGACUCUGAUCCUGCUACAGUUGAGCAAAACACCAGCAUUUGAGCACAUGAUACAAAGACUGAGGAAUAGAGAGAAAGACUUCACUAUAAACAGACUUCAGCGGACUAUCAUUCAGACACUUCAGACGUGUUGAUGUUCAUUUUUUUUAACAAGCUCUUACUAAACCAUCAUUCUCUGAGCACUAAGGUGCUUUUUCCUUGUGCUGUGAAAGGAUCAGUAACAUCACAAAAAAAAAAAAAAUCCAAAUGGCAUCUGUAAACAAUUGACACUAGAGGUAUUUUCAAAAUUUCACUUAUUCUGAGACACUAUUUCAGUUUUUAGUUACUGUUAACCAGCUGAGAAUCAAAUGUUUCUCAUGUUUACAGUUGUUCAAGUCACAAGAGUUUAAGUUCGGCUCCGGAGAUUAAUAAAGACGGACUCGGCAUUAGAGAGUCAGGUGGAGCUACAAACUUUCUGUAGCUGUUAAAGGGGCAGGAGAGAGCAAAGCCGCACUCCAGACAUUAUAAACCAAGAGUUUAUACAAGCUUAGCUGUUCAGCUAUAACUCGAAGAACUUUUUUUCUAGAAGAAUCUGCACUAUAGAGACCAUGAACUCCUUCACAGUGAACUUGAAUGCUCAGAUCUGUGUUACU
Molecule: long non-coding RNA, 734 nt
Organism: Cyprinus carpio carpio
Lineage: Eukaryota; Metazoa; Chordata; Actinopteri; Cypriniformes; Cyprinidae
Source: Ensembl